Molecule: ribosomal RNA, 120 nt
Filed under: Lysobacter sp. Root983
Lineage: Bacteria; Pseudomonadati; Pseudomonadota; Gammaproteobacteria; Lysobacterales; Lysobacteraceae
Source: RNAcentral
CCUGGUGAUAAUAGCUGUGUGGAACCACCCGAUCCCAUCCCGAACUCGGAAGUGAAACGCAUAUGCGCCGAUGGUAGUGUGGUGUGGCCUAAGCCAUGCAAGAGUAGGUCAUCGCCAGGG